UGCACACCAGCCUGGCCAACAGAGUGAGAACUUGUCUCAAAAAAAGAAAAGAAAAUGUAUCCAGGAGUUGGAUAAGGAAGUUGAGGACAGCAAGUCACAGUCACAGUCUGAGCCAAUUCUCAGUGGCCAGGGCUAUAGAAGGACACAGGCCAUAAGAAGAUAAGGAGGAACCUUGCACUGCUGGCCUCUGACAGCUAAAUAAUGGCUCCCAAAGAUGUGUCUACAUCCUAAUCUCCAGAAUCUGUGAAUGUUACUUUAUGUGGCAAGUACGUGGCAGAUGUAAUUAAGUCAAGGAUCUUUGGAUGGUUAUCCUGAAUUAUCUGGGUGGGCCCUAAAUACAAUCACAAGUGUCCUUAUAGGAGAGAGGCUGAAGGAGAUUUGGUACCAACAGAAGAGGAGGAGGAAAUUGUGAUCAUGCAGAAACUGGAGUGAUGGAGUCACAAGCCAAGGAAUGCCAGCAGCCACCAGAAGCCGAAAGAGGCCCUGCCAACACCUUGAUUUAGGCCUAAUGAAACUGAGUUUAGAUUUCUGGACCCCAGAACUGUGAAAGAAUAAAUUUCUGUUGUGUUAAGCCCCUA
RNAcentral lists this long non-coding RNA (578 nucleotides) under Homo sapiens (human). RNAcentral describes it as "LHRI_LNC1882.2". Lineage: Eukaryota; Metazoa; Chordata; Mammalia; Primates; Hominidae. The record is from RNAcentral.